This 55-nucleotide transfer RNA is filed under the name Saccharina japonica x Saccharina latissima. Its description in RNAcentral is "tRNA-Arg". It matches the Rfam family "tRNA", at positions 1 to 53 of the family's 71-position model. From Rfam's summary of the family: Transfer RNA (tRNA) molecules are approximately 80 nucleotides in length. Their secondary structure includes four short double-helical elements and three loops (D, anti-codon, and T loops). Further hydrogen bonds mediate the characteristic L-shaped molecular structure. tRNAs have two regions of fundamental functional importance: the anti-codon, which is responsible for specific mRNA codon recognition, and the 3' end, to which the tRNAs corresponding amino acid is attached (by aminoacyl-tRNA synthetases). tRNAs cope with the degeneracy of the genetic code in two manners: having more than one tRNA (with a specific anti-codon) for a particular amino acid; and 'wobble' base-pairing, i.e. permitting non-standard base-pairing at the 3rd anti-codon position. Lineage: Eukaryota; Phaeophyceae; Laminariales; Laminariaceae. The record is from RNAcentral.
GCAUUUUUAGCUCAGUGGAUAGAGCAUCGGUCUUCUAAAUCGUGGGUCGUAGGUU